RNAcentral lists this ribosomal RNA (246 nucleotides) under uncultured marine eukaryote. RNAcentral describes it as "partial 18S ribosomal RNA". It matches the Rfam family "Eukaryotic small subunit ribosomal RNA", at positions 1189 to 1456 of the family's 1831-position model. The record is from RNAcentral.
CUUAAUUUGACUCAACGCGGGGAAACUCACCAGGUCCAGACAUAACUAGGAUUGACAGAUUGAUAGCUCUUUCUUGAUUUUAUGGGUGGUGGUGCAUGGCCGUUCUUAGUUGGUGGAGUGAUUUGUCUGGUUAAUUCCGAUAACGAACGAGACCUUAACCUGCUAAAUAGCCAGGCUGGCUUUUGCUAGUCGCCGGCUUCUUAGAGGGACUGUUAGUGUUUAGCUGACGGAAGUUUGAGGCAAUAA